RNAcentral lists this ribosomal RNA (429 nucleotides) under uncultured Lactobacillus sp. RNAcentral describes it as "bacterial SSU rRNA". It matches the Rfam family "Bacterial small subunit ribosomal RNA", at positions 355 to 776 of the family's 1533-position model. Lineage: Bacteria; Bacillati; Bacillota; Bacilli; Lactobacillales; Lactobacillaceae. The record is from RNAcentral.
UAGGGAAUCUUCCACAAUGGACGAAAGUCUGAUGGAGCAAUGCCGCGUGAGUGAAGAAGGGCUUCGGCUCGUAAAACUCUGUUGUUAAAGAAGAACACCUUUGAGAGUAACUGUUCAAGGGUUGACGGUAUUUAACCAGAAAGCCACGGCUAACUACGUGCCAGCAGCCGCGGUAAUACGUAGGUGGCAAGCGUUGUCCGGAUUUAUUGGGCGUAAAGCGAGCGCAGGCGGUUUUUUAAGUCUGAUGUGAAAGCCUUCGGCUUAACCGGAGAAGUGCAUCGGAAACUGGGAGACUUGAGUGCAGAAGAGGACAGUGGAACUCCAUGUGUAGCGGUGGAAUGCGUAGAUAUAUGGAAGAACACCAGUGGCGAAGGCGGCUGUCUAGUCUGUAACUGACGCUGAGGCUCGAAAGCAUGGGUAGCGAACAGG